This 253-nucleotide ribosomal RNA is filed under the name uncultured bacterium. Its description in RNAcentral is "partial 16S ribosomal RNA". It matches the Rfam family "Bacterial small subunit ribosomal RNA", at positions 524 to 776 of the family's 1533-position model. The record is from RNAcentral.
UACAGAGGUCUCAAGCGUUGUUCGGAUUCAUUGGGCGUAAAGGGUGCGUAGGCGGCGCGGUAAGUCGGGUGUGAAAUCUUGGAGCUUAACUCCGAAACUGCAUUCGAUACUGCCGUGCUUGAGGACUGGAGAGGAGACUGGAAUUUACGGUGUAGCGGUGAAAUGCGCAGAUACCGGGAGGAACACCAAUGGCGAAGGCAGCUCGCUGGGACGGUACUGACGCUGAGGCGCGAAAGCGUGGGGAUCAAACAGG